GUACUCACUUCAGCAGCACAUAUAAGAAGAUUUGAAUAAUGUACAGAAGUUUGGCAGGUCCCCUGUACAAGGAUAACAUGCAAAUUUGUGAAAUUACAUAUAUUGCA
Molecule: small nuclear RNA, 107 nt
Organism: Rattus norvegicus (Norway rat)
Lineage: Eukaryota; Metazoa; Chordata; Mammalia; Rodentia; Muridae
Source: Ensembl